CCUACGUGAGGCAGCAGUGAGGAAUAUUGGUCAAUGGACGAGAGUCUGAACCAGCCAAGUAGCGUGAAGGAUGACUGCCCUAUGGGUUGUUAACUUCUUUUAUAUGGGAAUAAAAUGUUCCACGUGUGGGCUUUUGUAUGUACCAUAUGAAUAAGGAUCGGCUAACUCCGUUCCAGCAGCCGCGGUAAUACGGAAGAUCCGUGCGUUAUCCGGAUUGAUUGGGUAUAAAGGGAGCGUAGGUGGAUUUUUAAGGCAGUUGUGAAAGUUUGCGGAUCAACCGUAAAAUUGCAGUUGAAACUGGCAGUCUUGAGUACAGUAGAGGUGGGCGGAAUUCGUGGUGUAGCGGUGAAAUGCUUAGAUAUCACGAAGAACUCCGAUUGCGAAGGCAGCUCACUGGACUGCAACUGACACUGAGGCUCGAAAGUGUGGGUAUCAAACAGGAUUAGAUACCCGAGUAGUC
Molecule: ribosomal RNA, 460 nt
Filed under: uncultured bacterium
Lineage: Bacteria
Description: partial 16S ribosomal RNA
Rfam family: Bacterial small subunit ribosomal RNA
Source: RNAcentral